AUUGAACGCUGGCGGUAUGCUUAACACAUGCAAGUCGAACGGUAACAUAAGAGAGCUUGCUCUCUUGAUGACGAGUGGCGGACGGGUGAGUAAUAUAUAGGAACCUUCCUCAUAGUUUAGGAUAAGCACUCGAAAGAGUGUCUAAUACUGGAUGUGAACUACGGUUUAAAGCAGGGGAUCUUCGGACCUUGUGCUAUGAGAUGGGCCUAUACAAGAUUAGCUAGUUGGUGAGGUAAGAGCUCACCAAGGCGACGAUCUUUAGCUGGUUCGAGAGGAUGAUCAGCCACACUGGGACUGAGACACGGCCCAGACUCCUACGGGAGGCAGCAGUGGGGAAUAUUGGACAAUGGGGGGAACCCUGGUCCAGCCCAUGCCGCGUGUGUGAAGAAGGCCUUAAUGGUUGUAAAGCACUUUUAAGCGAGGAGGAGGCUCUCUUGGUUAAUACCCAAGAUGAGUGGACGUUACUCGCAGAAUAAGCACCGGCUAAC
RNAcentral lists this ribosomal RNA (488 nucleotides) under uncultured Lysobacterales bacterium. RNAcentral's name for it is "bacterial SSU rRNA". It matches the Rfam family "Bacterial small subunit ribosomal RNA", at positions 30 to 501 of the family's 1533-position model. The record is from RNAcentral. Lineage: Bacteria; Pseudomonadati; Pseudomonadota; Gammaproteobacteria; Lysobacterales.